GAUGAACGCUGGCGGCGUGCCUAACACAUGCAAGUCGAGCGGACACUUUCAAGCAGUAAUGUGAGGAGGUGUUAGCGGCGGACGGGUGAGUAACACGUGAGCAAUCUGCCUUCUGCAGGGGAAUAACAUUGUGAAAACAGUGCUAAUACCGCAUGACGUGGCACCGGGGCAUCCCGGAGCCACCAAAGGAGAGAUCCGGCAGGAGAUGAGCUCGCGUCCGAUUAGGUAGUUGGUGAGGUAACGGCCCACCAAGCCGACGAUCGGUAGCCGAACUGAGAGGUUGAUCGGCCACAUUGGGACUGAGACACGGCCCAGACUCCUACGGGAGGCAGCAGUGGGGAAUAUUGGGCAAUGGGGGAAACCCUGACCCAGCAACGCCGCGUGAAGGACGAAGGCCUUCGGUUGUAACUUACUUGUAUCAGGGACGAAAGCGAUGACGGUACCUGAAGAACAAGACCACGGCUAACUACGUGCCAGCAGCCGCGGUAAUACGU
This 494-nucleotide ribosomal RNA is filed under the name uncultured bacterium. RNAcentral's name for it is "bacterial SSU rRNA". It matches the Rfam family "Bacterial small subunit ribosomal RNA", at positions 28 to 528 of the family's 1533-position model. The record is from RNAcentral.